AGCUGAGGAAGCCACAGGGAACUCAGUCCAAGCCCGCUGUGAUGACAGCCAGUCACCUACAACAUCAGUUCCUGAGGUGCCUGAGACAGGAGAGUCCCUGUCAGAGUUGAAGCUGGAAGAAGGCUGGGAAGCUGGUGGCUCCUGCAUCGUCGUCAUUGCUGAGGACUGAGUGGCGACUGGAUGGUGGACAGCGGGUUGAGGUAGCCCAGUAGCCUGGAGAUGUCUCAGAGGGUAAA
Molecule: long non-coding RNA, 236 nt
Organism: Mus musculus (house mouse)
Lineage: Eukaryota; Metazoa; Chordata; Mammalia; Rodentia; Muridae
Product: predicted gene, 35487
Exons: 3
Source: RefSeq, a predicted model, not a curated record